GCACACAACAGAGCACAGCGGCGUCGGACCUGUCUCCACUUUUAGACACAGUAAAACACAGAAUGUUAAUGUAGCGGGGGAUUCUGUGAGUGUUUUCGCGUCUUGCUCUCAUUAUGGACGUCGGGUUGUUGCUGCUGACGGGAUAAUAACCAUUUUUGCUUACUUCUUUUUUUUUUCUUUUGAGGAUCCUGUAUGGGGAUAUCUUUUUUUUUUUUUUUUUUUUCUCGUCGCUUGCAGAUUUGCUGGAGACACAAGAAGGGAAUGGCUGGCUUGCAUGAAAGGACAUUUUAACAACUCGAGUAGACAAGUGUGAGCCCAGCUUUGCACGGAAAAGUUUCACUACCUCAGAGAGAGAGAGAGAGAGGGAGAGAGAGAGACGGACGGACCCCCCCCUCCGAGAGGAGAGACUUGCUCGGCUUGUCUGGCUCCAGUCGUGGCCUGGCUCCGGGCACUCCCAAGCUUAUCCGCCUAGCAUCGGAGCUCAGGCGACGAGACUAAAGCGAAGACAGCAGCAGCAGGAGGAGGAGGAGGAGGAGAAGGAGGAAGGCUUUUUCCCCUGUGUGUGUUUAUAUCAUCGGCUCUGGAUGCAUUCUUUUUAAAAGGGAAAAAAGGCAUUCAAUUAUCCUGCAAGACAAAAACAAUGGCGUCUUAUGUGGAUAACAGCUUUCGGCAGGCUGUGAUGAUGAACCCGGCUGAAAGGACGCAACAGGACUUGGAGAUCGUCUACUCGUACCUCCACGGGAUGGAGGCCUUGUCCAACCUGCGAGAGCACCAGCUCAGGAUAAUGUGCGAGUCGGUGCGCUACGAGAGACACGAGGCCAAUGAAGUGCUGUACUAUCCUGACGACGUUGGAAGCUGCUGGUACAUCCUGCUGUCCGGCUCGGUCUUCAUUAAGGAGUCCAUGUUCCUGCCCAGAAGCAGUUUUGGGAAGCGAUCAGCCGGCAGCCUUCGACGCGGAUGUGAGUGCAUCGUCCUGGAACCGUCAGAGAUGAUUGUGGUGGACUAUAUGGAUGAAAAUGAGGAGUACUUUCAGCGGCAAGCCUCGCACAGACAGUCCCGCCGGCGCUUUAGGAAGAUCAACCAGAAAGGGGAGCGACAGACGAUCAUCGACACCGUGGAUCCGUACCCGACCGGAAAGCCGCCCAUAGCCCGGGGUUACCACACGGAAUGCAAUAAACCUCAGCUCCCCGCAGACUUCAGCAGACUUCACCUGGCCGACGGCUUGCACCCACAGGUGACCCACGUCUCCUCCAGCCACUCAGGAUGUAGUAUCACCAGCGACUCUGGAAGCAGCAGCCUGUCAGACAUUUACCAGGCCACAGAAAACGAACCAGGCGACAUGGACCUGAGUGGCCUGCCAGAGACCGCCGUCGACUCGGAGGAGGACGACGAUGAGGAGGACAUCGAGCGAGCGUCGGAUCCCCUCAUGAGCCGGGACAUCGUGCGGGACUGUCUGGAGAAAGACCCCAUGGACCGAACAGACGAUGACAUCGAGCAAUUACUGGAGUUCAUGCAUCAGCUGCCAGCAUUCGCCAACAUGACCAUGUCAGUGAGGAGGGAACUCUGCGCCGUCAUGGUCUUCGCCGUGGUGGAACGGGCCGGCACCAUCGUCCUCAACGAUGGAGAGGAGCUGGACUCGUGGUCGGUGAUCCUGAACGGCUCGGUGGAGGUGACGUACCCCGACAGCCGGACGGAGAUCCUGUGCAUGGGGAACAGUUUUGGGGUGUCACCCACCAUGGAGAAGGAAUACAUGAAGGGCGUCAUGAAGACCAAGGUGGACGACUGCCAGUUUGUGUGUAUAGCCCAGCAGGACUACUGCUGCAUCCUCAACCAGGUGGAGAAGAACAUGCAGAAGGUGGAGGAGGAGGGAGAGAUUGUGAUGGUGAAGGAGCACCGCGAGCUGGACCGCACGGGCACAAGGAAAGGACACAUCGUCAUCAAGGGCACAUCGGAGCGUCUCACCAUGCACCUCGUGGAGGAGCACUCGGUGGUGGAUCCCACCUACAUCGAGGACUUCCUGUUGACCUACAGGACCUUCCUCUCCAGCCCCAUGGUCGUGGGCAAGAAGCUCCUGGAGUGGUUCCACGACCCGAGUCUCAGGGACAAAGUUACACGGGUAGUCUUGCUGUGGGUAAACAAUCACUUCAACGACUUUGAGGGUGACACCGCCAUGACUCACUUCCUGGAGGAGUUUGAAAACAAUCUGGAGAAAGAAAAAAUGUGCGGGCACCUCAGACUGUUAAACAUAGCGUGCGCUGCUAAAGCUAAGCCUCGGCUGGUGACGCUGACUAAGCCGGGCAGGGACUCCCCGCUGGCCUUCAAUCUCCUGGGAGGACAGGAGAAAGGUUUCCGCAUCUUCAUCGAAGCCGUGGAGCCCGGGAGCAAGGCAGCAGAAGUCGGCCUUAAGCGUGGAGAUCAGAUCUUGGAGGUCAAUGGACAAAACUUUGAAAACGUCCAGCUCAACAAAGCCAACGAGAUUCUGAAGAACAACACCCACCUGUCCAUAACUGUGAAAACAAACCUCUUAGUGUUUAAAGAGCUGCUAACCAGGCCAGAACAUGACCACGAUCUGGACGGCGAGGAGGAACACGACCGAAAGAACGGAGCGCCCCACCUGCCGAAGAUCGGAGACAUCAAGAAGGCGAGCCGGUACUCCAUCCCCGACCUGGCGGUGGACGUGGAGCAGGUGAUGGGCCUGGAGAAGGUCAGCAAGAAGGCCAAGACCAACACGGUGGGAGGACGCAACAAGCUGAAGAAGAUCUUCGACAAGACGCUCACCAGCAUCCUGCCUCCUAAACCGUACAACGACGUUUGCGUGGGCCAAUCACAGGACGACAGCAUCGUGGGCAUGAAGCAGUCCAAACAGAUCCCUCCACCUCUGCCCGUCAGCGGGAACCUGUCGUCGUCGAACCCCGACCUCCUGCAGUCCCACCACCGCAUCCUGGACUUCAACAACCAGCCUGUCCCAGUCACACCCAACAUGUCGGACCAGGUGUUGCGAGUCUUCAAGGCCGACCAGCAGUCUCGAUACAUCAUGAUCGGGAAGGACACCACGGCUAAGGAGGUGGUGGCUCAGGCCAUCAGGGAGUUCGCCCUGACUGCAGCGGCGGACGCGUACUCGCUGUGCGAAGUGUCCGUCACACCCGAGGGCGUCAUCAAGCAGAGGCGGUUACCCGAUCAGCUGUCCAAACUCGCAGACAGGAUUCAGCUGAGUGGAAGAUACUACCUGAAGAGCAACAUGGAGACGGAGACGUUGUGCUCGGACGACGACGCUCAGGAUCUCCUGCGAGAGGCGCAGAUCUCUCUGCUGCAGCUCAGCACGGUGGAGGUCGCCACCCAGCUCUCCAUGCGGGCCUUCGAACUCUUCUGCGCCAUCGAGCCCACCGAGUACAUCGACGACCUCUACAAGCUGCGCUCCAAGACGGGCUCGGCCAGCCUGAAGCGCUUCGAGGAGGCCAUCAAUCACGAGACCUUCUGGGUGGCGUCGGAGGUGACGCGGGAGCCCAACCAGCUCAAGAGGAUGAAGACCGUCAAGCACUUCAUCAAGAUCGCCCUGCACUGCCGGGAGUGCAAGAACUUCAACUCCAUGUUCGCCAUCAUCAGUGGUCUGAACCUGGCUCCGGUCUCCAGACUCCGGGGGACCUGGGAGAAGCUUCCCAGCAAAUACGAGAAGUUGUUCUCGGACCUGCAGGACCUCUUCGACCCCUCGAGAAAUAUGGCCAAGUACAGGAAUGUCCUCAACAAUCAGAACCUCCAGCCUCCAAUCAUCCCCCUGUUCCCCGUCAUCAAGAAGGACCUCACCUUCCUGCAUGAAGGCAAUGACUCCAAAGUGGACGGCCUGGUGAACUUCGAGAAGCUAAGGAUGAUCGCCAAAGAAAUCCGCCAUGUUGGCCGCAUGGCCUCCGUCAACAUGGACCCGGCUCUCAUGUUCAGGACCAGGAAGAAGAAAUGGAGAAGUUUAGGGUCCCUAAGUCAGGGCAGUGCCAACGCGGCAGUGCUCGACGUCAACCAGACGGGCGGGCACAAGAAGCGGGUGCGACGCAGCUCCUUCCUGAACGCCAAAAAGCUCUACGAGGACGCCCAGAUGGCCAGGAAGGUCAAACAGUAUCUGUCCAACCUCAGCCUGGAGACCAACGAGGAGAGUCUGCAGACGCUGUCGAUGCAGUGUGAGCCCUCCAUCAGCACAUUGCCCAAGAAUGCCGGUGGGAAACGACCAGACACCUCGCCGGUCGUGUCCAGAGCUGCCAGCCAGCAGAGGGGCCAGCUAGCCAAAGGAAGCCAGGCCCUCCAGGUCCCUGCAGUCGCCCUUUACCCAUCCCGAAAGAAAGUGCCAGUCAAGGAUCUGCCGCCUUUCGGCACCAGCUCGCCCCAGUCUCUGAAGAAGAUCCUCUCUCUGUCGGAGGAGGGGAACGAGAGGCACCGCAGGCAGCCAGAGGACACCGUGUCCAACGCCUCCUCCCAGCUCUCCUCCCCUCCCACCUCCCCACAGAGCUCACCCAAGAAGGGUUACAACAGGAUGGGAGACGCGUACUCAGACUCCGGUCACAGUGAGAUCUCCUCUCGCUCCAGCCUCGUCAGUAACUCCUCUUUCGACAUGGCCCAGGAGGAGCGGAGACUCCGUCACUCCGGAGGAGUCGGGGAGUCGCACAUCGUCGGGGCGCGGCUGGAACGAAGAGCCACCACUGACCCCGACCAGUACAGCCUCGGGUCGUAUUCAUCGAUGCAGGACUGUCGAGGGAUCUACACCGGCUGCCCGACGGUGCUCUCCUCACCCAGCUCAGAGGAGCUGACUCAGGAUCAGGGCGAUCGAGUUUCCCUCGACGCCGCAGACAGCGGCCGCGGCUCCUGGACUUCCUGCUCCUCCGGUUCCCAUGACAACAUCCAGACGAUGCAGCAGGGACGCAGCUGGGAGACUCUGGCCUUCGGUGGAGGAGGAGGAGGAGGCGGCGGCGGAGGUGGCAUCGGGGGCCUCCCUCACGGGGGUCCAGAGGCCUUGUUAGGGGGGCCUGCCGCUCUGUGGGCGGCUCAGGCCAGGGGGAGCUGGGCGUCUGCCAGCUCCUCCUCGUCCUCAGCCGCGUACUGGGGGGAGGACUCCGAAGGAGACACGGGCACCAUCAAGAGGAGAGGAGGGAAGGACGUGAACGCAGACCCAGAAACCAGUAGCAUCACCUCCACCGGGUCGGAGGAGGCCAAGCUGCUCGGACGGCCGUCUCCGUCGCCCAUCACCGCUGGGGGUAAAGGACUUCUUUCACGGAAAGAAAGUCGUUACCGCGAGCCCCCCCCGACUCCCCCCGGCUACACCGCCCUGACCAUCUCUGACCUCGCCGAGGGGCAGCACCCGACCACGCCCGUCCCCACGUCGACGACGACCCACACGGGCCGCCGGCCGCCGGACUACACGACGGCCCUGCAGCGCUCGCGCAUGGUCACCCAGUCGCCCGACUCCCACCAGGCCCACCAGGCGGCCAAACAGCGCGGGGGCGGCCUCCAUCGCACGCGCUCGCCGGCCGACGACGAAGAUGCUGAGGAGGAAGAGGAGGGUGAGUCCUUGUCUCCCAAACUAAUCGCUCUGAGGAAGCCAAAGCGAGGCGCACAGCACACACCCGAGACUCCCAGACCAUGAGAGUGUGUGUACGGGGGGUUAACAGGCAGGGCCCCCUCUCUCCCCAAAGGCAGAGGACGAACAGGUGUCAGCGGUCUGAGGGUCGGCGGGGGGACGACGACGACGACGUCCUUUUUUUUUUUGCAGUAACUUGAAGUCCUUCGGUUUUUUGGGGGCGGGCAGGAUCAAAGAGACAAGACGGACCAACAUGGACUCAUCAUCAGUUACAUACGUGCCUGCCUCCUCCACUCGGCUCUCCCUCCUGAUUGGUGGGACUCCUCUGCUCGUCUCCCUCCCCUGCCUUAAAGCAUCAUAAGGGGGUUGAAAGACCCUGCAUGCAAAAAAAUAAAAAAUACUGUGAAGAAGAGAUGGAGAGAAGGUCAAAGACGAUGGGAAAAAAACAAAACGCCUGGCACUUUGGAUAAAAAGACAGAAACCUAAGUGGUGCCGGGAGGGGGGGGGUCGAGCCGCCUCAUGCUCAUAAAAACCACAUCGCGGUUAGGAGCGGUUUCUUUAACCUCCGACCUCCAUCCAGUGACAACAAACCCCCCUCCCCCCCCCCCCCCCCCCCCCCCCCCCCCCCCCUCGUGUUAACACAACAGCAUCCUGACGUGUUGACCUUCAUCUGCACUUUUUCAUUUUCUACUUUCUAAAACAGAUUUAAAAAAAAAAAAACAGACGUUUGUUUUGAAGAUGGAGGGAGAAAAAACGGUCGACUUUGACUCUAAAUGUUCCCCACUCUUUUUUUUUUUUGUUUUGUUUUUUUGUUAAUUCUUUGACUGAUUGCACUCUGGGGGCCGAGAAAACGAGAGUCAGCCCCAAGUCAGCCCAUUUCCUCUGCCUGGACUGAAACAACCCCCGCCUGUUGGUUUUGAGUGUUUGAACUCUUCAGUAUUAUCUCAUGUGUCACAUGUGAAAGAUUAUCAAGUGUUGGUUGAAAUCCAAACUGACACACCUGCACACACACACACAUACACACACACAGAGUACAUUUUAUGUACAAGAACAUUCAGAAAAAAACACAAUUUAUUUCAAAGAAAAGCACUUUCAGCACAAUCGUAAAUGUGAGCAGACAUUUUGGCCUGGAUACCAGGGUAUGAUUGAUCCAUAUCUGACUGUCGGUCCACCUCGGAGCUCGUCUGCUUGGAAUCAAGAGUCUAUCCUGUUUGCUUGCUGUUUUUUGUAACUGGGCUUAAAGGGGAUAUCGAUUAAAAAAAAGCACACAGGUGAUGGACCACCCACUGAAAACUGAGCAAAAACAUGCCUGACUCCAUCAUGUUGGUCUCCAGAGAUUCACAAGGUUACUAAAGCUGAAGAAAUCAAGAGGAGCCGGUGCAGGAGAGGAGGUGUUAUCACGGAGGGUCGUCCUUUUUUAUACCUAAAUUUAAAGUCGGUAACAAUUUAAACGAAGUUACACAUUGAUGGGAUACUUCUGAGCAUGCUUAUUAGCAACACAACAGGCUUUUUGUUCUCCACUAUGAAGCACUUCAUGCCUUUUUAAUACCUGACGCUAUGUGAUAGCCACUAGGUCAUGAACUGAGACCUUUUCCUUCAGUAACCAGCUAACACACACACACACACACACACACACACACAGAUCUAUACUCACCAGGAUCCUGUACAUGAACUUCCUAUUUAGUAUGAAUUAGCAUCAAAGAGGUGGAUAUUAAAGGAGCAGUCUGAAGCUGUUUUCACACAUGCACUCAUGAAACAUGAACACCUAACAGCACGAGUUCUCUACUGAGACCCGCCCCGUCCGAUCUCAGGAGGCAAGACAUGUUGGAAAUGGGCGGAGCUACAGCAUCCGACACCAUAGUAACGCUGUUAUAUUUUGCCUUUCUAUCAAAGCGACGUGCAAAUGGACGUAUCAGAGAAUCAGAACAGAACCUUCUGGUGACAGAAACGAGCGUGAAGCCGCUUCAUUACGUGCAAGAUGAUGCACGUGCAUUCAAACGUCGUUGCACCUCGCCGUGGAUUUUCUGCUCAUUAUCUCACCCAGACUUCAUGAGGAGAAAGUCGACGUUAAUACUGCGUCCGUUUGCAUUCACACAUGCAGCCGACUCCUGAAAUUUGAAGAGUUUAGUGUACGUGUGAAAACAGCUCCAGUUGAUAACCGAGCAGCUGCAGAUCUCAGUCCUGCAGAAUAAAGAGUUAUUAAAAUACUUUCUUACUAUGAUGCUAAUAAACAUGCUCAGCCACACAUGCUCGAGGUGAAUGUGUAUCUUAAGUCAGAUGAGUUACCCCGUGUGUUUUUUUAUUUUUUAAGGACGGGUGGCAAAGAAUCCGUCGAUGUGUGACCCUCGACUGUACCUCUGAUUAUACCGACCUUUUCAGUUGAUCUUGUACAGAGUCUUAUAAUAAUACUCACAUUAAAGGUCAAAGUAUCCCCACAUUCAAAUUUGGCAUUCCCCCCCCCCCGACCUGAACAUAACUCCACAUUUUUUAGUGAAUGUUUAAAAAAAGCGCCUUACGAUGCCAUGAGUGCGUCCAUUUCUUCACAUGGUCGUCCCCGUCACUAAUCACCUUUUUUGAAGAGCAGUUAGGAAAUCAAACGAGAGCGGAGUGAAAUGCCUUAUUCAAGAUACUCCCCCUCCCCUGACUUUUUUAAAAACGAUGUAUAUUAAAGACUCAGUACAAGAUGAAGGCAGGCGUUUUGUUUUCUCGUACGCGUCUCCUCCCUGCUCCUGUGCUCGUAGACUCCUCCUCCUCCUCCUCCUCCUCCUCCUCCUCCUCCUCCUCGCCUGUUACACUGGACGCCUGCGUCCACUUUACCGUCACCUCUCUCCAUCAACGGAAGUGACUGAAGAUUUUUUUUAUUCCUUUGACUCCGGUGGGACGUUGACGUAUGAAGAAACCUUUUUUUUUUUUUUUUUUUUUUUUACAGGCUGCCAAUCAGAACAAUUGAAAAACUCCAUCAGUGACUCGACACGUGUUGUUUUCUUUCUAUCGCUGAGUCGCGCUGAUCACAUUGAUCAGUCUCAGAAACUACAGACUGAGAAACACAUGGAUGAGUGCAGUGUGUGUGUGUUUUCCCCACUGUGUUCUGUGACUACACACUUCAUGAUUUCAUGGGUUCCUUUUUUUUUUUUUUUUUUUUUUGUUGUAAUUUUUUUUUUGUUUUGUAAUGGCUGCAGAUAGAUUGUUAAUAAUAAUUUGUUUGUGAUACAGUGGUGACAUGCAUCAUUCACUUUUUCAUUCAAACUCUGAAGAUCAUGUGCAUAUUAGCCGGACGAGUCCUAUUUCGAGAAAAACACAAAAGUUGCACAAAAAUGUACAAGCGUAAAGAUCGGUGUGUAGUAGGUAGAACUGCUACCCUGUUUGAUGUGUGAUGUCAGUGAGAAAUGUACAUUUAGCUGGUGAUGACCUUCUUUUUCUUCAUUCUUUCUCGUACUGCUUUGGCCUGUAUGUCUUUUAAAAAGACAAUCGGUGGAGUAUGUAUCAGUUGUUUUUGUAUUUUUAAUACAAUAAUUGUAAAUAUUGGUUAUAUUUUUGUUCAAAUGUACUAUGUUUAUGCCUCAACAUCCAGUUUAUAUGAAGCUGGGAAUCAAUAAAUACUGCAUAAAGAAUCAA
Molecule: RNA transcript, 9172 nt
Organism: Labrus mixtus (cuckoo wrasse)
Lineage: Eukaryota; Metazoa; Chordata; Actinopteri; Labriformes; Labridae
Gene: rapgef2b
Gene name: Rap guanine nucleotide exchange factor 2b
Exons: 31
Source: RefSeq, a predicted model, not a curated record